Cydia splendana is the source of this 494-nucleotide long non-coding RNA. RefSeq lists it as uncharacterized. The record is from RefSeq and is a predicted model, not a curated record. The transcript is spliced from 2 exons. NCBI's taxonomy places the organism in Eukaryota, Metazoa, Arthropoda, Insecta, Lepidoptera, Tortricidae.
CACACACACUGAUUUAGACAAUGAAAACGACUCAAAUUGCCCAGUACGCCCUUCGACUCACCUAUUCGCAGCCAGCGAACCGUGAGAAGAUGAUGUCUAGAUCCGCGCUCGCCCUGGCUGCCUUCGGUCUAGGUCUGUCCACCUUCAGCGUGCGUCAGAUGGUUCUGAACCAGACCCGGCGAUUCUAAGCUUAAUGCCAACACGCAGAAACAAAACGCCAAAAGGUUAACAAGAUUUACGAUGGCAACAUUGAAACGUGUGCGUUCAAGCGCGCUCGAAUAGUAUUAAUUCUCGCCUAUCUUUUUAAAAAUGGCUGCGUGAGGUUGCGUUCGAGUUAACCUUUUUAUUUAAGUCGAAUGAUUGUUUGAAAAAAAAAGUAAAUGUAAUGAUAAUGGAUAAAAAAUGUAAUUUAUUUUUUUAAUUGUUUUUUGUGCAAUUGAAUGUCUGCUCAGCCGUUAGAUUAUUUUAAAUUAAAUGUAGGAUGGAAUUGUUUA